AGAGUUUGAUCCUGGCUCAGAAUCAACGCUGGCGGCGUGCCUCAGACAUGCAAGUCGAACGAUUAAACUUUCCUUCGGGAAAGAUAUAAAGUGGCGCACGGGUGAGUAACACGUAGGUAAUCUACCUUUGAGUGGGGAAUAACGUUCGGAAACGAACGCUAAUACCGCAUAAUGCAGCGGCACCGCAAGGUGACAGUUGUUAAAGGAGCAAUCCGCUUAAAGAGGAGCCUGCGGCAGAUUAGCUAGUUGGUAAGGUAAUGGCUUACCAAGGCUACGAUCUGUAACCGACCUGAGAGGGUGGUCGGUCACACUGACACUGAAUAACGGGUCAGACUCCUACGGGAGGCAGCAGUCGGGAAUUUUGGGCAAUGGGCGAAAGCCUGACCCAGCAACGCCGCGUGAAGGAUGAAGUAUUUCGGUAUGUAAACUUCGAAAGAAUGGGAAGAAUAAAUGACGGUACCAUUUAUAAGGUCCGGCUAACUACGUGCCAGCAGCCGCGGUAAUACGUAGGGACCAAGCGUUGUUCGGAUUUACUGGGCGUAAAGGGCGCGUAGGCGGCAAAUCAAGUCAGCUGUGAAAUCUCCGAGCUUAACUCGGAACGGUCAGCUGAUACUGUUUUGCUAGAGUGCAGAAGGGGCAAUCGGAAUUCUUGGUGUAGCGGUGAAAUGCAGAUAUCAAGAGGAACACCUGAGGUGAAGACGGGUUGCUGGGCUGACACUGACGCUGAGGCGCGAAAGCUAGGGUAGCAAACGGGAUUAGAUACCCUAGUAGUCC
This 774-nucleotide ribosomal RNA is filed under the name uncultured bacterium. Its description in RNAcentral is "bacterial SSU rRNA". It matches the Rfam family "Bacterial small subunit ribosomal RNA", at positions 8 to 796 of the family's 1533-position model. The record is from RNAcentral.